This 253-nucleotide ribosomal RNA is filed under the name uncultured bacterium. RNAcentral describes it as "partial 16S ribosomal RNA". It matches the Rfam family "Bacterial small subunit ribosomal RNA", at positions 524 to 776 of the family's 1533-position model. The record is from RNAcentral.
UACGUAGGGUGCGAGCGUUAAUCGGAAUUACUGGGCGUAAAGGGUGCGUAGGCGGUUCCAUAAGUUCCGUGUGAAAUCUCUAAGCUCAACUUAGAAAUUGCACGAAAUACUGUGGAGCUAGAGGGCCGGAGAGGAGACUGGAAGUCCCGGUGUAGCGGUGAAAUGCGUAGAUAUCGGGAGGAACACCAGUGGCGAAGGCGAGUCUCUGGAAGGUUCCUGACGCUGAGGCACGAAAGCUAGGGGAGCAAACAGG